UCCGGAGGGAGCUAUCGUUGUUCGGAAUUACUGGGCGUAAAGCGCACGUAGGCGGCUACUCAAGUCAGAGGUGAAAGCCCGGGGCUCAACCCCGGAACUGCCUUUGAAACUAGGUAGCUAGAAUCUUGGAGAGGUCAGUGGAAUUCCGAGUGUAGAGGUGAAAUUCGUAGAUAUUCGGAAGAACACCAGUGGCGAAGGCGACUGACUGGACAAGCAUUGACGCUGAGGUGCGAAAGCGUGGGGAGCAAACAGG
Molecule: ribosomal RNA, 253 nt
Filed under: uncultured bacterium
Lineage: Bacteria
Description: partial 16S ribosomal RNA
Rfam family: Bacterial small subunit ribosomal RNA
Source: RNAcentral